UAGUCAUAUGCUUGUCUCAAAGACUAAGCCAUGCAUGUCUAAGUAUAAACAACUUUAUACUGUGAAACUGCGUACAGCUCAUUAUAUCAGCAAUAAUUUAUUUGAUGGUUCCUUACUACUUGGAUACCCGUAGUAAUUCUAGAGCUAAUACAUGCGCAAAGUCCCAACUCUCGCGGGGAGGGAUGUAUUUAUUAGAUAAAAAACCAAUGCGGUCCUUCGGGGCCGGAUACCUGGUGAAUCAUAAUAACUGAUCGAAUCGCAUAGCCUUGUGCUGGCG
RNAcentral lists this ribosomal RNA (277 nucleotides) under uncultured eukaryote. RNAcentral's name for it is "partial 18S ribosomal RNA". It matches the Rfam family "Eukaryotic small subunit ribosomal RNA", at positions 21 to 289 of the family's 1831-position model. The record is from RNAcentral.